RNAcentral lists this transfer RNA (71 nucleotides) under Marmota marmota marmota (Alpine marmot). It matches the Rfam family "tRNA". Rfam says of the family: Transfer RNA (tRNA) molecules are approximately 80 nucleotides in length. Their secondary structure includes four short double-helical elements and three loops (D, anti-codon, and T loops). Further hydrogen bonds mediate the characteristic L-shaped molecular structure. tRNAs have two regions of fundamental functional importance: the anti-codon, which is responsible for specific mRNA codon recognition, and the 3' end, to which the tRNAs corresponding amino acid is attached (by aminoacyl-tRNA synthetases). tRNAs cope with the degeneracy of the genetic code in two manners: having more than one tRNA (with a specific anti-codon) for a particular amino acid; and 'wobble' base-pairing, i.e. permitting non-standard base-pairing at the 3rd anti-codon position. The record is from Rfam by way of RNAcentral. RNAcentral also lists the same sequence under 1 other name. Lineage: Eukaryota; Metazoa; Chordata; Mammalia; Rodentia; Sciuridae.
GUGGUUGUAGCUCAGUGGUAGAGUGCUGGCCUUGCAUAUAUGAGGCUCUGGGUUUGAUUCUCAGCACCACA